UACAGAGGUCCCAAGCGUUGUUCGGAUUCACUGGGCGUAAAGGGUGCGUAGGCGGUCGGGUAAGUCUGAUGUGAAAUCUCACAGCUUAACUGUGAAACUGCAUUGGAUACUAUCCGGCUCGAGGAAUGGAGGGGAGACUGGAAUUCCUGGUGUAGCAGUGAAAUGCGUAGAUAUCAGGAGGAAUACCGAUGGCGAAGGCAGGUCUCUGGGCUGAUACUGACGCUCAUGCACGAAAGCGUGGGGAGCAAACAGG
This 253-nucleotide ribosomal RNA is filed under the name uncultured bacterium. RNAcentral describes it as "partial 16S ribosomal RNA". It matches the Rfam family "Bacterial small subunit ribosomal RNA", at positions 524 to 776 of the family's 1533-position model. The record is from RNAcentral.